This 324-nucleotide ribosomal RNA is filed under the name uncultured eukaryote. RNAcentral describes it as "partial 18S ribosomal RNA". It matches the Rfam family "Eukaryotic small subunit ribosomal RNA", at positions 1470 to 1796 of the family's 1831-position model. The record is from RNAcentral.
CCCUUAGAUGUUCUGGGCUGCACGCGCGCUACACUGAAGCUCUCAACACGUUUUCCCUCCCUGAGAAGGGCGGGUAACCUUUUGAAUCAGCUUCGUGGUAGGGAUCGGGGCUUGCAAUUGUUCCCCGUGAACCAGGAAUUCCUAGUAGACGCGAGUCAUAAGCUCGCAUCGAUUAAGUCCCUGCCCUUUGUACACACCGCCCGUCGCUACUACCGAUUGAACGUUUUAGUGAGGCAUUUGGACCGACGCAUCUCAGUUUAACCGCUGGUUUGUGUUGGAAAGACUUCCAAACUUGAGCGUUUAGAGGAAGUAAAAGUCGUAACA